UACGUAGGGUGCAAGCGUUAAUCGGAAUUACUGGGCGUAAAGCGUGCGCAGGUCGGUUUUGUAAGCCAGAUGUCGAAAGCCCCGGGCUCAACCUGGGAACUGCGUUUGGAACUACAAGACUAGAGUGUGUGGAGAGGGGGGUAGAAUUCCAAGUGUAGCGGUGAAAUGCGUAGAGAUUUGGAGGAAUACCAGUGGCGAACGGCGGCCCCCUGGCACAACACUGACGCUCAGG
Molecule: ribosomal RNA, 232 nt
Filed under: uncultured bacterium
Lineage: Bacteria
Description: partial 16S ribosomal RNA
Rfam family: Bacterial small subunit ribosomal RNA
Source: RNAcentral